Molecule: ribosomal RNA, 560 nt
Filed under: uncultured bacterium
Lineage: Bacteria
Description: partial 16S ribosomal RNA
Rfam family: Bacterial small subunit ribosomal RNA
Source: RNAcentral
UGGGGAAUUUUGGACAAUGGGCGAAAGCCUGAUCCAGCAAUGCCGCGUGUGUGAAGAAGGCCUUCGGGUUGUAAAGCACUUUUGUCCGGAAAGAAAUCCUUGGCUCUAAUACAGUCGGGGGAUGACGGUACCGGAAGAAUAAGCACCGGCUAACUACGUGCCAGCAGCCGCGGUAAUACGUAGGGUGCAAGCGUUAAUCGGAAUUACUGGGCGUAAAGCGUGCGCAGGCGGUUUGCUAAGACCGAUGUGAAAUCCCCGGGCUCAACCUGGGAACUGCAUUGGUGACUGGCAGGCUAGAGUAUGGCAGAGGGGGGUAGAAUUCCACGUGUAGCAGUGAAAUGCGUAGAGAUGUGGAGGAAUACCGAUGGCGAAGGCAGCCCCCUGGCAAGUACUGACGCUCAUGCACGAAAAGCGUGGGGAGCAAACGGAUUAAUNCCCUGGGUAGUCCCACGCCCUAAANGAUGUNACUAGUUGUUGGGGAUUCAUUUUCCUUAGUAACGUAGCUAACGCGUGAAGUUGACCGCCUGGGGAGUACGGUCGCAAGAUUAAAACUCAAAUAA